RNAcentral lists this ribosomal RNA (501 nucleotides) under uncultured bacterium. RNAcentral's name for it is "partial 16S ribosomal RNA". It matches the Rfam family "Bacterial small subunit ribosomal RNA", at positions 29 to 523 of the family's 1533-position model. The record is from RNAcentral.
AUUGAACGCUGGCGGCAUGCCUUACACAUGCAAGUCGAACGGCAGCACGGGUGCUUGCACCUGGUGGCGAGUGGCGAACGGGCGAGUAAUACAUCGGAACGUACCUAAGCGUGGGGGAUAUCGCAGCGAAAGCGUCGCUAAUACCGCAUACGCACAGAGGGGGAAAGCGGGGGAUCGGAAGACGUUGGGCGGUGAGGUUGGGCGAUGCCUGAUUAGCUAGUUGGUGGGGUAAAAGCCCACCAAGGCGACGAUCAGUAGCUGGUCUGAGAGGACGAUCAGCCACACUGGGACUGAGACACGACCCAGACUCCUACGGGAGGCAGCAGUGGGGAAUUUUGGACAAUGGGGGCAACCCUGAUCCAGCAAUGCCGCGUGAGUGAAGAAGGCCUUCGGGUUGUAAAGCUCUUUUGUCAGGGAAGAAACACCGGCUCUAACACAGUCCGGGAAUGACGGUACCUGAAGAAUAAGCACCGGCUAACUACGUGCCAGCCGCCGCCGUAA